CUGAGGACCGCCGGCUGCCCGGCUCCGAGAAGAACAGAGCUUCUGGAAGCUGCACUACCUGCUCACUGCUUCAUCUCCCAACGUCAGUCAGUCGACUCCUUCGUGACAGGAAGAGCUACGGAGUUGACAUGAACUUGAGCUGACAUAAAAUCAUCUGCCAGCUUCCUCCACUGCCUCCGACUGAGAAAAAGAGAAAACAACUACCGAUGACCCUUCUUGGAAAACCAGACAUUUGUUUUCUGAAGCUCUUAAAGGAGACGCUCAGACCUCAUUAUGGUAAAACACAAGUGCCUGUUACCCCAGGGUGAAUGACACCCUUUACUACCCAGCAGGAAUGCAAAGACAAAAGUCUGGGUCCUGAACAACCCUGUGAUCCUUUUGCUAAUCCAGUGUAGACAUGGUCAGUGUAAACAUAA
Molecule: long non-coding RNA, 416 nt
Organism: Condylura cristata (star-nosed mole)
Lineage: Eukaryota; Metazoa; Chordata; Mammalia; Eulipotyphla; Talpidae
Exons: 3
Source: RefSeq, a predicted model, not a curated record